Molecule: non-coding RNA, 70 nt
Organism: Podarcis lilfordi (Lilford's wall lizard)
Lineage: Eukaryota; Metazoa; Chordata; Lepidosauria; Squamata; Lacertidae
Source: the annotation of a GenBank genome assembly
GGCCAUAGCUGAGUGGUAGAGCAUUUGCUUUGCAUGCAGAAGGUCCCAGCUUCAAUCCCCAGCAGCACCU